UGCAGCUGGAAGCAGAACCAGGAGGUCUCCCUGAGAUCUUCACCUUUCCUGCUUGAUAAACAGGAGCUUUGGAAGCAUUCCCUGUCCUCUGCUGCACUGGAGAUGUUCUGUGCUGAGAAGAGAAUACCAGCUUGCUUUGCCAGUGUGAAGAGACAGAGGAACCCAUGGAGAUUCGGUGAGAAUUUAAACAGAACAUAUUGAGGGCUGCACUGACAACUGUGGAUACAAAGUAGAUGAAAAAUGAGUGCUGGAGCAGCAAUGGUGCUAUGGAUUCAGAAGGGAUCUCUGAAGUGGCUAGCACAGGCACAGCUAUAAUGGCUCAACCUGCUCCUCCCUUGCACCCCCAUCUCCUGUUCUACUUCUUUAUGCGAGCUUUUACUGUUCAGAGCAGCUGGUUGCCGUCGAUACCAAUUUGAGCAACUCUCUAAAGUGCAUGACAAAGCAAAUCUCAUGUACCUUCUUGAAUGAAGAAUGUUGAAUUCCUCCACAUUCUAGAAAUGCACCCCUUCUUUAUGCUCGUUUAUCUUUAAAAGUGCUAGCACAAACUAGAUUAUAAAGACAGUUGUUUUCCUUGAUGUCUGUCAUGUUAGCAUCAUAUGUAAUUUACACUUUUUUGUCAUUUUGCAAGAUCUUCUGCAAUUUCUUUGCAUAAUUAGAGUGUGGCCUAUGCAGUUUGGAGCCUACUGUUCAGCUGAGGGUCUUGGUCUAGUAGACACAAAUUCACUGAUGUCACUGAAAUGACGGUCUCUAUAAUUGCCUAGGAAGAUAUCUACAGAGUUGCAGGAAAGAGAAGAACAGUAAGAGGGAACACAUUAUCUUCUUUGUGGAUGUCUAGAGACAAGCAUGUCUGGCAGUCAUGGUGUUGAACUCAAAAUAGAUUUACCCAGCACAGAAAAGGCAAAAGGAAGAAGAACAUUCUUAUAUGCCAAAUACUGAAUUUCUCUUCCAGAAUUCUACCAGCAUCAGAAUAUUACACCAUAAACAAGUUAACAUUACUGCAUCAAUUAGAAAAUGUAUGCAACUGACUGGUCUGUGUCAUCUUUUAGGCCUCAAGAAUACCAGAAAAUUAAACAAAAGGUCCUGGAACCUAACAGAUGCAAAGGCUGAAAACUUCACUGAGAUUUUACAAGAGACUCCCUAUCAAAAUGGUUUGAAUCAGUGGCUUUGAGUUUAUUCAGGUUAGAAAUGCACUAUAAAUCCUCCAAGAUGACUUAAACUCCCACUGGAAAUUUAUGUUUAUGCACAAGAAAUUUCUUUUCCUGCGAAUCCUCAGAAGUUCAUAAACCAACAAAAGCUUUUGGACUACAUAUUGAAACAAGUAUGAAGCAGAACUUAGGAAUAAAUGACCUUUUCUUGGAGUAGGUGAAUAUCGC
Molecule: long non-coding RNA, 1373 nt
Filed under: Chloebia gouldiae (Gouldian finch)
Lineage: Eukaryota; Metazoa; Chordata; Aves; Passeriformes; Passeridae
Description: Erythrura gouldiae (Gouldian finch) lncRNA (ENSEGOG00005000527.1)
Source: RNAcentral